GCUACAGGCUUAACACAUGCAAGUCGAGGGGUAGCAGGGUAGCAAUACCGCUGACGACCGGCGCACGGGUGAGUAACACGUAUCCAACCUUCCCAUAACUCGGGGAUAGCCUUUCGAAAGAAAGAUUAAUACCCGAUAGUACUUAAGAAAGGCAUCUUUUUUAAGUUAAAGGUUUAUUGGUUAUGGAUGGGGAUGCGUUCCAUUAGAUAGUUGGUGAGGUAACGGCUCACCAAGUCUUCGAUGGAUAGGGGUUCUGAGAGGAAGGUCCCCCACAUUGGUACUGAGACACGGACCAAACUCCUACGGGAGGCAGCAGUGAGGAAUAUUGGUCAAUGGGCGAGAGCCUGAACCAGCCAAGUAGCGUGAAGGAUGACGG
Molecule: ribosomal RNA, 376 nt
Filed under: uncultured Bacteroidales bacterium
Lineage: Bacteria; Pseudomonadati; Bacteroidota; Bacteroidia; Bacteroidales
Description: bacterial SSU rRNA
Rfam family: Bacterial small subunit ribosomal RNA
Source: RNAcentral